CCCACCCCUGCACAAUGCAAAUGAAGCCAUUCCCCGAGCUGGAUUGCUGCGGGAGCAGCUGUCAGAAUGCCCAGCGGCUUCAGUGAGACCUGCAUUCACUAGUAUUUCUCCAAGAGGAGAGAUGUCAUCUCUCCUGUUGAUGCCUCCUGGCAACGUUCUAAAGCCCCCUCCCCCGGUUCUGCCCUGCAACCUUUCUUCUGCUGAUACAAGAACCAUGUAUGCUUCGACGCCUUCAAAGCGCACAGGAGUGUCACAGAGAGAUUUAAUUCUCUAGAAGGGAAUUAUGCUGCAUAAUUGUAACUGAAGCUGUGCUGUCUGGUUGGAAGUGGUCACACAGGAUGUAGAUUUUAUUCCCUAAGUGAAGAAUGCAAGUAUUUCCAUAGCAAAGUAUUCAUGUUUAAAGUGAAGUCUCCUUGAGUGUGGGUGUUUAUAAUUCCAGAUUCCUUCAGAGCAAAUAUUUGCGUCUAUAAAAUUCAUUUGCAAAAGAUUUGACAGGAUGUGUGGAUGUGUACAGAAAAUAAAGGUCAAAACCAUAAAAGUGUACUGAAAAGGAUAAAAGUAAAGUCCUUAAAGUAUGGUGUGUGAGUGUUGGUAUGCAUGUCCUACAGGUAAAAGCCAUUUUAAACAAAAUAUCCAUACCUGUGUAGAUGUAAAUGUGCAGUUAAAAAAAUACAUGCAUUGUAGGUUGCUGUUUCUGUACCCCACAGAGAGAGAUUGUGUGUGUGUGUGUGUGUGUGGACGUGUGCGUGUGCAUGAAGGAAAGGGAGAAAGAAAAUGAGGGGGAGAGUGGGAGGAAGAUCUGUACAGAGCCAGAAUUCUUUUUUUUUUCUCCCAUCAAGAUGAUUAUAGUGUCCUUAGAAAUGAGAGGCUCUACCAAAGAUUUUCAACUUCAAAGAAAAGUUCUCAGUGAAAGCUCAUCCUCUCUGUCUCUCAUUAGUAGGCAGAAAAGCCUUUAACGUAUUCUAGCAUAGAAGAGCAGAAGAGUGUACUUCCCUCCCAAGUCAAACAAAAUAUUUCACAGUCAUGUGAUGGUCUGAAGCUAAAGAAGAAAAAGAAGCAAUAAGACUUUUAGAGGACUAUGAAUACAAAUUUGAAAAUAUUAAUGUACCUUGGGGCUAUUUAGGGGUAACCUUUGAUAUAAACUCCUGUGGUAGCUUCAUUUCUUGUGUCAGUGUCCUAUUUUUUCUAUCAAAUUUGGGUUGGAUUUUUUUUUAA
Molecule: long non-coding RNA, 1215 nt
Organism: Passer domesticus (house sparrow)
Lineage: Eukaryota; Metazoa; Chordata; Aves; Passeriformes; Passeridae
Exons: 2
Source: RefSeq, a predicted model, not a curated record